RNAcentral lists this long non-coding RNA (449 nucleotides) under Trifolium pratense (red clover). RNAcentral's name for it is "long non-coding RNA (TPRA_LNC011203)". The record is from RNAcentral. Lineage: Eukaryota; Viridiplantae; Streptophyta; Magnoliopsida; Fabales; Fabaceae.
UAGUUCCUCGGUUUUCAGAUAAUGGACGAUUUAACAGCCACUAAGUUGAAUUUGCCGUAUGGAAUUUAUGUAUUUGUCUCUGAAUCAAAUUAAAAUUAUUAGCUAAUAGAUACAAUUUUUUUUGUAUUGUUUAUCAUUGUCUCUUCUAUAUGUAGAAAUUGAAAUUUAGCUAACAUGUUGAAACAAUUUUUAACAUCAGGAUGGUAGUCAUGUUAAUAUGACAUUGCAUGGAUCACCGAGAAAUUUUCUGCACAAAUUGUGAUUGAUACUAUAAUGUUCUGCUUAAAAAGUAUCAAUGUUGAGCUCUUCAGUCCAAGCUUAAUGAUCAUAAAAGAAUAGAUGCAUGUAGUUUGUAUGCUUCAUUAUGCCAAAAAUCAUUAGUUUUUCCCCAUAAUUUCUAAGUUCUUUCGGACUAAAUCUUUGACUCAUUGAAGGAAAAGAAGUUCACC